GUUUGGUUAAGUUAGAAAGGGCGCACGGUGGAUGCCUUGACACUAGGAGUCGAUGAAGGACGGGACUAACGCCGAUAUGCUUCGGGGAGCUGUAAGUAAGCUUUGAUCCGAAGAUUUCCGAAUGGGGAAACCCACCAUACGUAAUGGUAUGGUAUCCUUAUCUGAAUACAUAGGGUAAGGAAGACAGACCCAGGGAACUGAAACAUCUAAGUACCUGGAGGAAGAGAAAGCAAAUGCGAUUUCCUGAGUAGCGGCGAGCGAAACGGAACAUAGCCCAAACCAAGAGGCUUGCCUCUUGGGGUUGUAGGACAUUCUAUACGGAGUUACAAAGGAACGAGGUAGACGAAGCGACCUGGAAAGGUCCGUCGUAGAGGGUAACAACCCCGUAGUCGAAACUUCGUUCUCUCUUGAAUGUAUCCUGAGUACGGCGGAACACGUGAAAUUCCGUCGGAAUCUGGGAGGACCAUCUCCCAAGGCUAAAUACUCCCUAGUGAUCGAUAGUGAACCAGUACCGUGAGGGAAAGGUGAAAAGCACCCCGGAAGGGGAGUGAAAGAGAUCCUGAAACCGUGUGCCUACAAAUAGUCAGAGCCCGUUAACGGGUGAUGG
RNAcentral lists this ribosomal RNA (607 nucleotides) under Bacillus anthracis (anthrax bacterium). Its description in RNAcentral is "bacterial LSU rRNA". It matches the Rfam family "Bacterial large subunit ribosomal RNA", at positions 1 to 599 of the family's 2925-position model. The record is from RNAcentral. Lineage: Bacteria; Bacillati; Bacillota; Bacilli; Caryophanales; Bacillaceae.